GAUGAACGCUGGCGGCGUGCCUAAUACAUGCAAGUCGAGCGAACGGACGAGAAGCUUGCUUCUCUGAUGUUAGCGGCGGACGGGUGAGUAACACGUGGAUAACCUACCUAUAAGACUGGGAUAACUUCGGGAAACCGGAGCUAAUACCGGAUAAUAUUUUGAACCGCAUGGUUCAAAAGUGAAAGACGGUCUUGCUGUCACUUAUAGAUGGAUCCGCGCUGCAUUAGCUAGUUGGUAAGGUAACGGCUUACCAAGGCAACGAUGCAUAGCCGACCUGAGAGGGUGAUCGGCCACACUGGAACUGAGACACGGUCCAGACUCCUACGGGAGGCAGCAGUAGGGAAUCUUCCGCAAUGGGCGAAAGCCUGACGGAGCAACGCCGCGUGAGUGAUGAAGGUCUUCGGAUCGUAAAACUCUGUUAUUAGGGAAGAACACAUGUGUAAGUAACUGUGCACAUCUUGACGGUACCUAAUCAGAAAGCCACGGCUAACUACGUGCCAGCAGCCGCGGUAAUACGUAGGUGGCAAGCGUUAUCCGGAAUUAUUGGGCGUAAAGCGCGCGUAGGCGGUUUUUUAAGUCUGAUGUGAAAGCCCACGGCUCAACCGUGGAGGGUCAUUGGAAACUGGAAAACUUGAGUGCAGAAGAGGAAAGUGGAAUUCCAUGUGUAGCGGUGAAAUGCGCAGAGAUAUGGAGGAACACCAGUGGCGAAGGCGACUUUCUGGUCUGUAACUGACGCUGAUGUGCGAAAGCGUGGGGAUCAAACAGGAUUAGAUACCCUGGUAGUCCACGCCGUAAACGAUGAGUGCUAAGUGUUAGGGGGUUUCCGCCCCUUAGUGCUGCAGCUAACGCAUUAAGCACUCCGCCUGGGGAGUACGACCGCAAGGUUGAAACUCAAAGGAAUUGACGGGGACCCGCACAAGCGGUGGAGCAUGUGGUUUAAUUCGAAGCAACGCGAAGAACCUUACCAAAUCUUGACAUCCUUUGACAACUCUAGAGAUAGAGCCUUCCCCUUCGGGGGACAAAGUGACAGGUGGUGCAUGGUUGUCGUCAGCUCGUGUCGUGAGAUGUUGGGUUAAGUCCCGCAACGAGCGCAACCCUUAAGCUUAGUUGCCAUCAUUAAGUUGGGCACUCUAAGUUGACUGCCGGUGACAAACCGGAGGAAGGUGGGGAUGACGUCAAAUCAUCAUGCCCCUUAUGAUUUGGGCUACACACGUGCUACAAUGGACAAUACAAAGGGCAGCGAAACCGCGAGGUCAAGCAAAUCCCAUAAAGUUGUUCUCAGUUCGGAUUGUAGUCUGCAACUCGACUACAUGAAGCUGGAAUCGCUAGUAAUCGUAGAUCAGCAUGCUACGGUGAAUACGUUCCCGGGUCU
This 1372-nucleotide ribosomal RNA is filed under the name uncultured bacterium. RNAcentral describes it as "bacterial SSU rRNA". It matches the Rfam family "Bacterial small subunit ribosomal RNA", at positions 28 to 1381 of the family's 1533-position model. The record is from RNAcentral.